This 357-nucleotide long non-coding RNA is filed under the name Androctonus crassicauda. Lineage: Eukaryota; Metazoa; Arthropoda; Arachnida; Scorpiones; Buthidae. The record is from RNAcentral.
AAAAAAAAUGACAACUCUGAAAGUCGUCUGCUGGAUAACCGGGACAUUCUCGUAUUGGAACCGGAAAUCAACGCUAAUGCAUAACAAACUGAAAAGCGAUCAGCAGUUUAUCAAACAAUUUUGUCAUUUUCAAAGUACAGUUAGGCUACGCAAUUUGCAGUCGUCUGAUUGUUUGGUCGACCGAUCGUCCCUCUGCGCCCACAUACUGUAAGCGACUAAACAGUCGGCUGAUAACUCAUUUUCUAGGUCAAUUGUACCAAUUUUUUACCAUAGUUUGGCAAACUUCUAUCCAAAGUUGAGCGAUUAAAUUCCUAUUAGAAUGUUCUUUCACAAAUAAUUUCAGAUUUAAAAAUUAUA